GAAAAAUGGUUGCUAGAUUUUGAAGGUGUGGCAGGGGGAGAUUUAGGCGGCUGGUCCAAGGAACGAGCUGGAACCUUAGGCUUGGUUUACUUACCCUUCUUUCGAGGAUGAGGGGUAGGCCGUUUACUAGGAAAGCGUGGGCUGACACGAGGGGUACUCCUAGGAGGAGGGGGCUCAGAACGAGAAUUGCAACUCCUAGAGGAACUAGGGGGGACCGAUCCCCCUCGCUGAUGGAGAUAUGGGAAGGGGAACCCGCAGGAGGGCUGUCAACCCUACUAGCCCCAACUUUACGUCGC
This 296-nucleotide long non-coding RNA is filed under the name Citrus maxima (pomelo). RNAcentral's name for it is "long non-coding RNA (CMAX_LNC000784)". Lineage: Eukaryota; Viridiplantae; Streptophyta; Magnoliopsida; Sapindales; Rutaceae. The record is from RNAcentral.